Long non-coding RNA from Amborella trichopoda, 1749 nucleotides. RefSeq lists it as uncharacterized. The record is from RefSeq and is a predicted model, not a curated record. NCBI's taxonomy places the organism in Eukaryota, Viridiplantae, Streptophyta, Magnoliopsida, Amborellales, Amborellaceae.
CUCAUUGAAAACUGUGUACCAGUCAGAGAGAAAGAAAGAGAGAGAGAGAGAGAGAGAGAGAGAGAAUGGAGAAAGCUGCUGAGGAUGACGAUGGUGGCCGAGAGGCAUCUAAUCGGAAGGAAAGUCACUUGAGUCUGAAUGCUGAGGAUGUGAAGGAAUCAGUCAGAAGAUUAGCUUAUAUGGUGGUCGGCUCUUUCUCACCACCCUCUAACGACCUCUUUGGAUGGGAGAUUGGGCAAAGAGGGUGUGGAGCUUAUCAUAUGUCCCUUCAGUAAGAAAAAGUGGAGGAUAAUAGGUGUGUUUUUUUCAUGGCCUGUUCAGAGGGCGUUGCAAAUCCCAAUAAGGUGCGUGAGAGGUGAAAGUUCAAAUUGUCUCGAUAAGAGUCCGGGCAAGGAAGAUUUGCUGGGCUCGGCUAUAAAGGGGAAUAUUACUGAUAUAAAGGGGAGUAAGCAGGCUAUUUUAAGUUGAGCUGAAGAGGUUCUGACCUCCUUGGCUCUCCUUCUCAAAAUGCACAGAACUUUUGCGGCAGCGUUCUUGAUAGCUUUGGCAGAAAUCCAUGGCACCCAGAUUCCAGCCGUUCCGUUUUGGAAGGUUGCUCACAAGAGGAGGGAACGAGGGGCUAGAGUUCCUCCUAAGGCUCAAGGCCUCCCGAUAAUAGUUUUGGAUCAAGAUGAGGGGCUUAAUAGUGCUCCUCUUCAGAUGUUGCCUGCUGCGGAAUCUCUACCUUGAGCUCUGGAUAUGAUAAAGAAGAUAGCUCUGAAGAUGAUGAUGAAUAUCCAGUAGACCCCUCCUACAUUGCCAUCGCUCAAUCAGAUGGAGAAUCUCGGUGAUGGCGUGGCUAAGAGCUUGGUUGAUCCAGUUGCAGAGGAGGGGGCGAAUGAUAUGAGGAUAUCCGUGCAAAAGAUGGGAGGACUGAGGAAGAAGGGGCAAGAAACAAUGUUGGUUCAGAAGGGAAUCAAGGUGCUACGGGGGGAUUAGUCUAUUCUGGAAAGCAUGGUUCCAAUCCCAGAUGAUCCUAAGGACUUUGUAGGAGUCUUUCAUGAUACUGGUAUGGGAUUCAAUGUCCCGAUAGCUAGGGGCUGGAAGUUAUAAAGGAGAAAGUGAAGUCUAUGAAGAAUUGAAGGGAAUCUGUUGAUUUGGAGGUACAUCACCAGAUUCAAGACUAUGUAAAUGAGAUACGGCUAAUGGAGGAGAGGAAUGCUGUGAUGAAUGCAACUCCUACAAGGUCUUCGUCUCGAAUUGCUUUGCAUAAUGGGGGAAUUGCGACUCAAGAGUCAUCCAAAGGCAAAAAGGCGGCUUCAGCAAGCUUGACAUCUUCAUCUUCCAAUUCCUUGUCUAAGGUGAUGUCGGGUAUCAGAUUUAGAUCUGCAUCUCAUUUUAAUGAAGCUGAUUAGCUGGAAUGUUCGAGGGAUGGGGAGAGGCUAAGCGAAAGCGUGAAAUUCAGAUGUUGGACUGGAGCCACAAGCCGGACAUUUUGCUUUUACAGGAAACUAAAUUACCUUCCCCAUCUUUGUUGUCGGUUAGGGGUGUUUGGGAUGGGGAGCAGGUUGAUUUUGUGCGGCUGGAUGCAGGUGGUUCAUCAGGUGGAAUGUGGACCAUGUGGGAUCCAACGCCUUUUAAACUUUUGAUAUCUGUUUUGGGGGAAAGGAUGUGUGUUGUUGUUUUGGAAGGGAUUUUAGAUGAUUUUCAUUGGGCUUGCUUUAAUGUGUAUGGACCAAACUUAUAUUCUAUGAAAGAAGAAUUUUUUAA